AGCUCCAUCAAAUUGUUGAAAAUGUUCGCCACUUUUCGUUCAUUCGUCGUCCAUAUGAAGUGUGGAACAGAUUUGAGGUCUUAGGUACAAUGAACCAUUUAAGAACUUUCGUUGCCUUACCAAUUCGUACAUUGCCUUGGGCAUGUUGCUACUUAAGCAAGAAAGUCUUACAUGACGUGCUGCCAAAAUUAAGAUGCUUAAGAGUUCUGUCAUUCAGUGGUUAUCAAAUUAGCGAGCUGCCAGAUUCAAUCUCUAGUUUGAAGCAUUUACGGUAUCUCAAUAUGUCUUGCACCAAAAUUAAAUGGUUACCUGAAUCCUUAAGCACUCUCUUAUACUUAGAAACACUGUUAUUAUAUGGCUGCACAGAGCUUACUAAGU
This 378-nucleotide unclassified non-coding RNA is filed under the name Hevea brasiliensis (rubber tree). The record is from RNAcentral. Lineage: Eukaryota; Viridiplantae; Streptophyta; Magnoliopsida; Malpighiales; Euphorbiaceae.